This is a long non-coding RNA of Anthonomus grandis grandis, 450 nucleotides long. RefSeq lists it as uncharacterized. The transcript has 2 exons. The record is from RefSeq and is a predicted model, not a curated record. Lineage: Eukaryota; Metazoa; Arthropoda; Insecta; Coleoptera; Curculionidae.
UCAAAUUUCUUUUUAAUUUUUUAAAUUAAAUUAAGACGGUGCUGGUAAUGUUAGUAUUUUAAAAGAUGAUGAAAAGGAAUAUGUAAUGUUUUUGAAAAAAAAACUAUUACGUAUUACUUAAGCAACUGUUCAAAGUGAAAACCAUUAAGUUUUUAAUUGGUUGCUGUACUUAUGGUGAGCUAUAACUUAUAAGCAUAGUUGCAAUUAUUAUUUAUUUAAUUAAUUAAACUAUUUUUUUAAGUUUUCUUUUAAAGAAGGGAGGUUGAUGCUUCAAUAAAAAUAUUGGGCAUAUGGAGCGGGGACAUCGGUUUAUUUGGACGAUACGACAUCAUAGAUGGAUGUAUAGGGCUCGGGAUAUAUGCGUUCAUAUUUUUUAGGAAAACAAGCUGAUCGAUGUUACAAGUGGUUUUUUUAAAAAAGAAAAUAAAGUUCUAGAUUUAUUAAAAAAGA